CCUACGGGAGGCAGCAGUGGGGCAUAUUGCACAAUGGGGGGACCCCUGAUGCAGCGACGCCGCGUGAGUGAAGAAGUAUUUCGGUAUGUAAAGCUCUAUCAGCAGGGAAGAAAAUGACGGUACCUGACUAAGAAGCCCCGGCUAACUACGUGCCAGCAGCCGCGGUAAUACGUAGGUGGCAAGCGUUAUCCGGAUUUACUGGGUGUAAAGGGGGCGUAGACGGUUAUGCAAGUCUGAAGUGAAAGCCCCGGGCUCAACCAUGGGACUGCUUUGGAAACUGUAAACCUGGAGUGCAGGAGAGGUAAGCGGAAUUCCUGGUGUAGCGGUGAAAUGCGUAGAUAUUAGGAGGAACACCAGUGGCGAAGGCGGCUUACUGGACUGUAACUGACGUUGAGGCUCGAAAGCGUGGGGAGCAAACAGGAUUAGAUACCCGUGUAGUC
RNAcentral lists this ribosomal RNA (440 nucleotides) under uncultured bacterium. RNAcentral describes it as "partial 16S ribosomal RNA". It matches the Rfam family "Bacterial small subunit ribosomal RNA", at positions 338 to 795 of the family's 1533-position model. The record is from RNAcentral.